This 465-nucleotide ribosomal RNA is filed under the name Vreelandella stevensii. Its description in RNAcentral is "partial 16S ribosomal RNA". It matches the Rfam family "Bacterial small subunit ribosomal RNA", at positions 338 to 795 of the family's 1533-position model. The record is from RNAcentral. Lineage: Bacteria; Pseudomonadati; Pseudomonadota; Gammaproteobacteria; Oceanospirillales; Halomonadaceae.
CCUACGGGCGGCAGCAGUGGGGAAUAUUGGACAAUGGGCGAAAGCCUGAUCCAGCCAUGCCGCGUGUGUGAAGAAGGCCUUCGGGUUGUAAAGCACUUUCAGUGGGGAAGAAAGCCUUGGGGCUAAUGCCCUCGAGGAAGGACAUCACCCACAGAAGAAGCACCGGCUAACUCCGUGCCAGCAGCCGCGGUAAUACGGAGGGUGCGAGCGUUAAUCGGAAUUACUGGGCGUAAAGCGCGCGUAGGCGGUCUGAUAAGCCGGUUGUGAAAGCCCCGGGCUCAACCUGGGAACGGCAUCCGGAACUGUCAGGCUAGAGUGCAGGAGAGGAAGGUAGAAUUCCCGGUGUAGCGGUGAAAUGCGUAGAGAUCGGGAGGAAUACCAGUGGCGAAGGCGGCCUUCUGGACUGACACUGACGCUGAGGUGCGAAAGCGUGGGUAGCAAACAGGAUUAGAUACCCUAGUAGUC